UGAGGAAUAUUGGGCAAUGCCCGCAAGGGUGACCCAGCAACGCCGCGUGGAGGAUGAAUGUCGUAAGAUUGUAAACUCCUGUUAGAGGGGAAGAAUAGUACCGGUUGGACCGGUAUAUGACUGUACCCUCAGAGAAAGCCCCGGCCAACUACGUGCCAGCAGCCGCGGUAAUACGUAGGGGGCAAGCGUUGUCCGGAUUUACUGGGUGUAAAGGGCGCGCAGGCGGGAUAAAAAGUCAGUGGUGAAAUCCUACAGCUUAACUGUAGAACUGCCUUUGAUACUUUUAUUCUUGAGUUCGGGAGAGAGAGACGGAAUUCCAGGUGUAGUGGUGAAAUACGUAGAUAUCUGGAAGAACACCAGUUGCGAAGGCGGUCUCUUGGUCCGACACUGACGCUGAGGCGCGAAAGCGUGGGGAGCAAACA
This 422-nucleotide ribosomal RNA is filed under the name uncultured bacterium. Its description in RNAcentral is "bacterial SSU rRNA". It matches the Rfam family "Bacterial small subunit ribosomal RNA", at positions 355 to 774 of the family's 1533-position model. The record is from RNAcentral.